AGAGUUUGAUCAUGGCUCAGAAUCAACGCUGGCGGCGUGCCUAACACAUGCAAGUCGAGCGAGAAAAGGGUAGCAAUAUCCUGAGUAAAGCGGCGCACGGGUGAGUAACACGUGGGUAAUCUGCCCUGGAGUGGGGAACAACACCGGGAAACCGGUGCUAAUACCGCAUACGAUCACGAUGUCUGCGGACGUUGUGAUGAAAGGAGCAAUUCGCUCCAGGAGGAGCCCGCGGCUGAUUAGCUAGUUGGUGAGGUAAUGGCUCACCAAGGCUACGAUCAGUAUCCGGUCUGAGAGGACGGUCGGACACACUGGAACUGAGACACGGUCCAGACUCCUACGGGAGGCAGCAGUGGGGAAUUUUUGGCAAUGGGGGCAACCCUGACCAAGCAACGCCGCGUGGGUGAUGAAGUCUCUUGGGACGUAAAACCCUUUCGACGGGGAAGAAACCGCAAGGUUGACGGUACCCGUAGAAGAAGCCCCGGCUAACUCCGUGCCAGCAGCCGCGGUAAUACGGGGGGGGCAAGCGUUGUUCGGAAUUACUGGGCGUAAAGGGUGCGUAGGCGGUGCUCUAAGUCGGAUGUGAAAACUCUGGGCUCAACCCAGAGCCUGCAUCCGAAACUGGAGUGCUAGAGUUCUGGAGGGGGUAGCGGAAUUCCUGGUGUAGCGGUGAAAUGCGUAGAUAUCAGGAGGAACACCGGUGGCGAAGGCGGCUACCUGGACAGAAACUGACGCUGAGGCACGAAAGCUAGGGGAGCAAACAGGAUUAGAUACCCUAGUAGUCC
RNAcentral lists this ribosomal RNA (782 nucleotides) under uncultured bacterium. RNAcentral's name for it is "bacterial SSU rRNA". It matches the Rfam family "Bacterial small subunit ribosomal RNA", at positions 8 to 796 of the family's 1533-position model. The record is from RNAcentral.